GACGAACGCUGGCGGCGUGCUUAAUACAUGCAAGUCGAACGCAAAGUCCCUGCUUUUGUGGGAGUCUCGAGUGGCUAACGGGUGAGUAACACGUGUGUAACCUGCCCGUGACUUUCGUAUAACUUCAGGCAACUAGUGCUAAUACCGGAUAGGAGCUCGUUCUGCAUGGUGGAUGUUGGAAAGUUUCGGCGGUUGUGGAUGGACUCGCGGCUUAUCGGUUUCUUGGUGGGGUGGUGGCGUGCGAAGGCUUUGACGGGUUGCCGGCCUGAGAGGGUGACCGGCCACAUUGGGACUGAGGGACGGACCAGACUCCUACGGGCGGCAGCAGUGGAGAAUAUGGCACAGUGGGCGGAAGCCUGAUGCAGCAACGCCGCGUGCGGGAUGACGGGCUUCGGGUUGUAAACCGCUUUCGCCGGUGCCGAAGCGUGAGUGACGGUAAUGAGUAAAGAAGCACCGGCUAACUACGUG
RNAcentral lists this ribosomal RNA (468 nucleotides) under uncultured bacterium. RNAcentral's name for it is "partial 16S ribosomal RNA". It matches the Rfam family "Bacterial small subunit ribosomal RNA", at positions 28 to 507 of the family's 1533-position model. The record is from RNAcentral.